CCGGUUGAUCCUGCCGGAGGCUACCGCUAUUGGAGUUCGAUUAAGCCAUGCGAGUCGCGAGAAAUUAGAUUCUCGGCGUACCGCUCAGUAACACGUGGGUAACCUGCCCUAUGCUGGAUAAUAACCUCGGGAAACUGAGAAUAAUGAUCCAUAGUUCACUACGCCUGGAACGGUGAGUGGAUGAAAGCUCCGGCGGCAUAGGAUGGGCCUGCGGCGUAUCAGGUUGUAGGGGGUGUAACGUACCCUCUAGCCCUCUACGCGUACGGGUGUUGGGAGACAUAGCCCGGAGAUGGAUUCUGAGACACGAAUCCAGACCCUACGGGGUGCAGCAGGCGCGAAAACUUGGCAAUGCGAGAAAUCGUGACCAGGGAACUCCAAGUGCAUGGGGUAAGACCCAUGCUUUUCUUGACUCUAAAUAGGUCUUGGAAUAAGGGGUGGGUAAGGACGGUGCCAGCCGCCGCGGUAAUACCGGCGCCUCAAGUGGUAGUCGCUUUUAUUGGGCCUAAAACGUCCGUAGCCGGUCUGAUACAUUCGUGGGUAAAUCAACCAGCUUAACUGGUUGAAUUCUGCGAGGACGGUCAGACUUGGGACCGGGAGAGGUGUGGGGUACGCUCAGGGUAGGGGUAAAAUCCUGUCAUCCUGAGCGGACCACCUGUUGCGAAGGCGCCACACUAGAACGGAUCCGACGGUCAGGGACGAAGCCUAGGGGCACGAACCGGAUUAGAUACCCGGGUAGUCCUAGGUGUAAACGCUGUGGACUUGAUGUUGGGGGUGCUCCGAGCACUCUCAGUGUCGAAGCGAAGGUGAUAAGUCCACUGCCUGGGAAGUACGGUCGCAAGGCUGAAACUUAAAGGAAUUGGCGGGGGAGCACCGCAACCUGAGGAUUGUGCGGUUUAAUUGGAUUCAACGCCG
This 912-nucleotide ribosomal RNA is filed under the name uncultured marine archaeon. RNAcentral describes it as "bacterial SSU rRNA". It matches the Rfam family "Archaeal small subunit ribosomal RNA", at positions 4 to 920 of the family's 1478-position model. The record is from RNAcentral.